ACAACGGGUUGAUAUUCCCGUACCCGCUUCAAUGCGCCCAUAUCGAACCUCGUGAUGCUAAGAGUCCUUAAGUCCUCUGAUGUCCUUCGGGACUAGGGGUGAGGCUGAACGCUCGAUCCGAUCGGGUAGUAGGUAAGCGAUGGGGUGACGCAGGAAGGUAGUCCAGCCCAGGCGAUGGUUGUCCUGGGGUAAGCAUGUAGGGCGGAACGUAGGUAAAUCCGCGUUCUAUUCAGCCUGAGAUGUGAUGCCGAGCCGAUUGUGGUGAAGUGGAUGAUCCUAUGCUGCCGAGAAAAGCCUCUAGUGAGUGUUGUGGCGGCCCGUACCCUAAACCGACUCAGGUGGUCAGGUAGAGAAUACCAAGGCGAUCGGGUGAACUGUGGUUAAGGAACUCGGCAAAUUGCCCCCGUAACUUCGGGAGAAGGGGGACCUCUGCUGGUGAUGGGCUUUACGUUCUGAGCUGGUGGGGGUCGCAGUGGCCAGGGGGAAGCGACUGUUUACUAAAAACACAGGUCCGUGCGAAGUCGUAAGACGAUGUAUACGGACUGACGCCUGCCCGGUGCCGGAACGUUAAGGGGACCGCUUAGCCAACGCGAGUUGGCGAAGGUGAGAACUUAAGCGCCGGUAAACGGCGGUGGUAACUAUAACCAUCCUAAGGUAGCGAAAUUCCUUGUCGGGUAAGUUCCGACCUGCACGAAUGGCGUAACGACUUCCCCGCUGUCUCAACCACAGACCCGGCGAAAUUGCACUACGAGUAAAGAUGCUCGUUUCGCGCAGCAGGACGGAAAGACCCCGGGACCUUCACUACAGCUUGACAUUGGCGUUUGGAACGUCUUGUGUAGGAUAGGUGGGAGACUGGGAAGCUGUCACGCUAGUGAUGGUGGAGUCAUUGGUGAAAUACCACUCUGGUCGUUUUGAACGUCUAACUCUGGUCCGUGAUCCGGAUCGGGGACAGUGUCUGGUGGGUAGUUUAACUGGGGCGGUUGCCUCCUAAAGAGUAACGGAGGCGCCCAAAGGUUCCCUCAGCCUGGUUGGCAAUCAGGUGUUGAGUGUAAGUGCACAAGGGAGCUUGACUGUGAGACUGACAGGUCGAGCAGGAGCGAAAGCUGGGACUAGUGAUCCGGCAUCGGCGUGUGGAAGCGGUGUCGCUCAACGGCUAAAAGGUACCCCGGGGAUAACAGGCUGAUCUUCCCCAAGAGUCCAUAUCGACGGGAUGGUUUGGCACCUCGAUGUCGGCUCGUCGCAUCCUGGGGCUGGAGUAGGUCCCAAGGGUUGGGCUGUUCGCCCAUUAAAGCGGUACGCGAGCUGGGUUUAGAACGUCGCGAGACAGUUCGGUCCCUAUCCGCUGCGCGCGCAGGAGACUUGAAGGGGGCUGUCCCUAGUACGAGAGGACCGGGACGGACGAACCUCUGGUGUGCCAGUUGUACCGCCAGGUGCACGGCUGGUUGGCUACGUUCGGAAGGGAUAACCGCUGAAAGCAUCUAAGCGGGAAGCUCGCCUUGAGAUGAGGUCUCCCACCCCGUGAGGGGGUAAGGCUCCCGGUAGAUCACCGGGUUGAUAGGCCGGAGGUGGAAGCACGGUAACGUGUGGAGCUGACCGGUACUAAUAGGCCGAGGACUUGACCG
This 1622-nucleotide ribosomal RNA is filed under the name metagenome. RNAcentral describes it as "bacterial LSU rRNA". It matches the Rfam family "Bacterial large subunit ribosomal RNA", at positions 1422 to 2925 of the family's 2925-position model. The record is from RNAcentral.